This 1345-nucleotide ribosomal RNA is filed under the name uncultured marine bacterium. RNAcentral describes it as "bacterial SSU rRNA". It matches the Rfam family "Bacterial small subunit ribosomal RNA". The record is from RNAcentral.
AUGCAAGUCGAACGAAGUAGCAAUACUUAGUGGCAGACGGGUGAGUAACAUGUAGGUAUCUGCCCUUUGGCCUGGAAUAACACGAGGAAACUUGUGCUAAUACUGGAUAAGUCUUUACGGAGAAAGCUUUAUGCACCAUUGGAUGAGCCUGCACUUGAUUAGUUUGUUGGUAGGGUAAUGGCCUACCAAGACUUUGAUCAAUAGCUGAUUUGAGAGGAUGAUCAGCCACAUUGGGACUGAGACACGGCCCAAACUCCUACGGGAGGCAGCAGUGGGGAAUCUUGCACAAUGGAGGAAACUCUGAUGCAGCGAUGCCGCGUGAGUGAAGAAGGCCUCUGGGUUGUAAAGCUCUUUCGUCGGGGAAGAAAAUGACUGUACCCGAAUAAGAAGGUCCGGCUAACUUCGUGCCAGCAGCCGCGGUAAUACGAAGGGACCUAGCGUAGUUCGGAAUUACUGGGCUUAAAGAGUUCGUAGGUGGUUGAAAAAGUUGGUGGUGAAAUCCCAGAGCUUAACUCUGGAACUGCCAUCAAAACUUUUCAGCUAGAGUUUGAUAGAGGAAAGCAGAAUUUCUAGUGUAGAGGUGAAAUUCGUAGAUAUUAGAAAGAAUACCAAAUGCGAAGGCAGCUUUCUGGAUCAUUACUGACACUGAGGAACGAAAGCAUGGGUAGCGAAGAGGAUUAGAUACCCUCGUAGUCCAUGCCGUAAACGAUGUGUGUUAGACGUUGGAAAUUUAUUUUCAGUGUCGCAGCGAAAGCAAUAAACACACCGCCUGGGGAGUACGACCGCAAGGUUAAAACUCAAAUGAAUUGACGGGGACCCGCACAAGUAGUGGAGCAUGUGGUUUAAUUCGAAGAUACGCGCAGAACCUUACCAACACUUGACAUGUUCGUCGCGACUUUAAGAGAUUAAAGUUUUCGGUUCGGCCGGACGAAACACAGGUGCUGCAUGGCUGUCGUCAGCUCGUGUCGUGAGAUGUUGGGUUAAGUCCCGCAACGAGCGCAACCCUCACUUUUAGUUGCCAUCAUUUAGUUGGGCACUCUGAAAGAACUGCCAGUGAUAAGCUGGAGGAAGGUGGGGAUGACGUCAAGUCCUCAUGGCCCUUACGUGUUGGGCUACACACGUGCUACAAUGAUAUUUACAACAGGAAGCAAAACGGCGACGUUAAGCAAAUCCUCAAAAAAUAUCUCAGUUCGGAUUGCACUCUGCAACUCGAGUGCAUGAAGCUGGAAUUACUAGUAAUCGUGGAUCAGCGUGCCACGGUGAAUGCGUUCCCGGGUCUUGUACACAUCGCCCGUCACACCAUGGGAGUUGGUUCUACCUUAAGGCAAGGUUAAAAUCCUGACCA